Molecule: ribosomal RNA, 284 nt
Filed under: Streptomyces sp. SID11233
Lineage: Bacteria; Bacillati; Actinomycetota; Actinomycetes; Kitasatosporales; Streptomycetaceae
Description: partial 16S ribosomal RNA
Rfam family: Bacterial small subunit ribosomal RNA
Source: RNAcentral
CAUUCACGGAGAGUUUGAUCCUGGCUCAGGACGAACGCUGGCGGCGUGCUUAACACAUGCAAGUCGAACGAUGAAGCCCUUCGGGGUGGAUUAGUGGCGAACGGGUGAGUAACACGUGGGCAAUCUGCCCUUCACUCUGGGACAAGCCCUGGAAACGGGGUCUAAUACCGGAUAAUACUUUCUCUCUCAUGGGGGAAGGUUAAAAGCUCCGGCGGUGAAGGAUGAGCCCGCGGCCUAUCAGCUAGUUGGUGGGGUAAUGGCCUACCAAGGCGACGACGGGUAGC